Molecule: small nucleolar RNA, 104 nt
Organism: Macaca fascicularis (crab-eating macaque)
Lineage: Eukaryota; Metazoa; Chordata; Mammalia; Primates; Cercopithecidae
Source: Ensembl
AUCCUUUUGUAGUACAUGAGCAUGAUGAUUUAAUUUCCACACCCAGGUGUAAGACAUGCCUCUCUCAAACCUUGUUAUGAGGUCAGCACAUUACGCUUCUGAUA